AGUUGAUCCUGGCUCAGGAUGAACGCUGGCGGUAUGCUUAACACAUGCAAGUCGAACGGUCUCUUCGGAGAUAGUGGCGGACGGGUGAGUAACGCGUGAGAAUCUAGCUUCAGGUUCGGGACAACCACUGGAAACGGUGGCUAAUACCGAAUGUGCCGAGAGGUGAAAGGCUUGCUGCCUGAAGAUGAGCUCGCGUCUGAUUAGCUAGUUGGUGGGGUAAAAGCCUACCAAGGCGACGAUCAGUAGCUGGUCUGAGAGGAUGAUCAGCCACACUGGGACUGAGACACGGCCCAGACUCCUACGGGAGGCAGCAGUGGGGAAUUUUCCGCAAUGGGCGAAAGCCUGACGGAGCAAUACCGCGUGAGGGAGGAAGGCUCUUGGGUCGUAAACCUCUUUUCUCAGGGAAGAAAAAAAUGACGGUACCUGAGGAAUAAGCAUCGGCUAACUCCGUGCCAGCAGCCGCGGUAAUACGGAGGAUGCAAGCGUUAUCCGGAAUGAUUGGGCGUAAAGCGUCCGCAGGUGGCGAUGUAAGUCUGCUGUUAAAGAGUGAGGCUCAACCUCAUAAAAGCAGUGGAAACUACAUGGCUAGAGUGCGUUCGGGGUAGAGGGAAUUCCUGGUGUAGCGGUGAAAUGCGUAGAGAUCAGGAAGAACACCGGUGGCGAAAGCGCUCUGCUAGGCCGCAACUGACACUGAGGGACGAAAGCUAGGGGAGCGAAUGGGAUUAGAUACCCCAGUAGUCCUAGCCGUAAACGAUGGAUACUAGGUGUGGCUUGUAUCGACCCGAGCCGUGCCGUAGCUAACGCGUUAAGUAUCCCGCCUGGGGAGUACGCACGCAAGUGUGAAACUCAAAGGAAUUGACGGGGGCCCGCACAAGCGGUGGAGUAUGUGGUUUAAUUCGAUGCAACGCGAAGAACCUUACCAAGACUUGACAUGUCGCGAAUCCCGGUGAAAGCUGGGAGUGCCUUCGGGAGCGCGAACACAGGUGGUGCAUGGCUGUCGUCAGCUCGUGUCGUGAGAUGUUGGGUUAAGUCCCGCAACGAGCGCAACCCUCGUUUUUAGUUGCCAGCAUUAAGUUGGGCACUCUAGAGAGACUGCCGGUGACAAACCGGAGGAAGGUGGGGAUGACGUCAAGUCAGCAUGCCCCUUACGUCUUGGGCUACACACGUACUACAAUGCUACGGACAAAGGGCAGCUACACAGCGAUGUGAUGCAAAUCCAAGAAACCGUAGCUCAGUUCAGAUCGCAGGCUGCAACUCGCCUGCGUGAAGGAGGAAUCGCUAGUAAUUGCAGGUCAGCAUACUGCAGUGAAUUCGUUCCCGGGCCUUGUACACACCGCCCGUCACACCAUGGAAGCUGGUCGCGCCCGAAGUCAUUACCCCAACCUUUCGAGGAGGGGGAUGCCUAAGGCAGGACUGGUGACUGGGGUGAAGUCGUAACAAGGUAGCCGUACCGGAAGGUGUGGCUGGAUCACCUCCU
RNAcentral lists this ribosomal RNA (1477 nucleotides) under Goleter apudmare HA4356-MV2. RNAcentral's name for it is "bacterial SSU rRNA". It matches the Rfam family "Bacterial small subunit ribosomal RNA". Lineage: Bacteria; Bacillati; Cyanobacteriota; Cyanophyceae; Nostocales; Nodulariaceae. The record is from RNAcentral.